UAUAGAUGUGGACAAGAUAACUGAUGCCUAUUGUUCUUGCAAGGCUGGACUUGGGGGUCAUUGUUCACAUAUUAUAGGCCUCCUCAAGACCUUGCAGUAUUUCAAACUGCAAAGUUUUUCCUCAAUCCCUGACCGAUUGAGCUGCACCAGUAUGCCACAAGCUUGGGGAGCACAAUCAGCUCGGGGUUUGAGGAUUGAACCCGUGCCCAUCAACCACCUCACUCUAGCACGACACGUGACUCACCGCAAGCGCAGACCGAAGGAAUGCAGUGUGGACUUGAACAAAAUAGUGACAAAGGUUGAACCCGAGGAGAUAGCUGCACUGAAAUUAUUACAUGGUACUCCAUUGACAUAUAUGCUGACGCCUUCAGCACCAACUGUCUCUACACCCCUGGGAGAAGUGCAAAUUGGGUCAGCUGUUUCCUAUCAGACAAGGAACUUGAAGG
Long non-coding RNA from Fundulus heteroclitus (mummichog), 446 nucleotides. RefSeq lists it as uncharacterized. The transcript is spliced from 4 exons. The record is from RefSeq and is a predicted model, not a curated record. Lineage: Eukaryota; Metazoa; Chordata; Actinopteri; Cyprinodontiformes; Fundulidae.